RNAcentral lists this long non-coding RNA (614 nucleotides) under Homo sapiens (human). RNAcentral describes it as "HSALNT0369209". The record is from RNAcentral. Lineage: Eukaryota; Metazoa; Chordata; Mammalia; Primates; Hominidae.
GAUCACUUGAUCAACAAGGCAGAUACUAUAAUAGAGGAAUCACAAACUAAUAGUGAAUUGAAUUUCCACAUGAUUACCUGAGGAGAGAAGAUGAUCAAAAUGGAAUGGAAAGGAUCAAAUAAAGAAGAGAGAUAUUUAAUCUAUAUAUUUAAUUAUAUAUACUUAUUUAUGAUAUUGUUCAUUGUUUUAUUUUACCACUUCACUAUUCUGCAAAAAAAAACAUAAAUGCAAAAUUUUUAAUAAUAUGUUGCCAACCUAUAAGACAAGUGAAAUAAAUGAGAAAAAACUUAAAGUAUAAUGGUAGAAAUCUAUGUUUGUAAAUUUCAACAAUCAAUAAGAAGUAGAAUUAUUCAAGCAACAGAACUCCUUGUGAUUACAUGUUUCAAAAAUAAAAAGAUGAUUUUGUUCCAAUAAAUAUUCUAAAUUACUACAUAUAUUUGUCAAUAUAUUGAUGAGUUAAUAUUAAGAUUAGUAUAGAUUUUAAAUUUCUACAUUUUUUCUCUUAACUAUAAACAAAGUUCAUUAUCUUAUGAUGAAUCUUUGUAUUUACUUUCAUUCAACACUGAAAAUUCUAAAAUAAAAAAAGAUGAGAAAAUCUUAUUGAAGCAUUUGGA